GCACAGGUGCCCGAGUGGUCUAAGGGGGUGGCCUGCAAAGCCAUCUUUUCGCUGGUUCAAAUCCAGUCCUGUGCU
RNAcentral lists this transfer RNA (75 nucleotides) under Spirochaetes bacterium GWB1_59_5. Its description in RNAcentral is "tRNA-Cys". It matches the Rfam family "tRNA". From Rfam's summary of the family: Transfer RNA (tRNA) molecules are approximately 80 nucleotides in length. Their secondary structure includes four short double-helical elements and three loops (D, anti-codon, and T loops). Further hydrogen bonds mediate the characteristic L-shaped molecular structure. tRNAs have two regions of fundamental functional importance: the anti-codon, which is responsible for specific mRNA codon recognition, and the 3' end, to which the tRNAs corresponding amino acid is attached (by aminoacyl-tRNA synthetases). tRNAs cope with the degeneracy of the genetic code in two manners: having more than one tRNA (with a specific anti-codon) for a particular amino acid; and 'wobble' base-pairing, i.e. permitting non-standard base-pairing at the 3rd anti-codon position. The record is from RNAcentral. Lineage: Bacteria; Pseudomonadati; Spirochaetota.